Vicia faba (fava bean) is the source of this 273-nucleotide non-coding RNA. NCBI's taxonomy places the organism in Eukaryota, Viridiplantae, Streptophyta, Magnoliopsida, Fabales, Fabaceae. The record is from the annotation of a GenBank genome assembly.
AUGAUGAAAAAAUUAGACUUAUUCAUGAGCACAUGUCCACUCAGGAUACAAACUUUGACGCCUCUACAAUUUUUUGCUACUACACAUUUCCAGUCAAUCCACGAUGAAAUUAGCUCCAAUAAUGAUGCUACCCAAAUCAAAAUUAACAACAUGGUUAACACCUCUACACACAAUCAUGAGGAGUCUUCCCAAUUCUACCAAGAAAUGUGUGACUCUGUGGAGAGGGGUAUGAGAACUUAUCAAAGAUUCUAUAGAGGUCCUAGGGGUCAUUGA